AGGUCCAUGUGUGUGUGUGUGUGUGUGUGUGAAUUGUUUUUUGUGUGGCCUUUUUGUGCGGUUUUGGUCAUUAGUUUUAGUGACGUGUUGUAUUAAAGGGUUCGAAGCUUCGCUCCACAGACACGCGCUGCGGAGACGGUGGUAGCUUGUGGACUUGCGGUGGUCACGCCAGUCUAUCAUAGCACAAAGUGAACGGGCGAGUCCAGUGUCUUGAAAACAGUUUUGGGUGUGUUCAGAUCCUGAAAGACAUCACCCUAUGAUAGAAGUUGCUGCAGGGCUACAAGGUCCAUUACAUCCCUGGCUGAGACUGCCAUGGUCUGCCUGUUAAACUGAAGGUACUCAGGUAGACAAAAAAAGAUUAUAGCAAAUCAGCUGUCAUCUUACAGUGAUUCUUUGGAGAUCAGGAAUAAUGUACAAGUCAGACAAGAGCAGAAGAGCCCCCCAUCUCUCCCUGUCUAGACCCUCGAGUGAAGCAGUAUGUCCUGAACCACCCAGCCACUUAGUAGACAGGUCACUGCACAGAACUGAGCCUAACACAAUGCCCUCAUUGCCAACCUGUGGAUUUGGCAGCCUUUCUGAAGGGAGGAUGACAAAGAGGACUGCAGGGAGACAGCAAGGACCACCAAGGGAAGACCAGAGCACCGUCUCAAACUGUAAGGAAGGCUGUUCCCCGGGGGACCCGUCUUGUGGGUUUUUCUGAGCCAGCUGGUGACACCCU
Molecule: long non-coding RNA, 718 nt
Organism: Scylla paramamosain (green mud crab)
Lineage: Eukaryota; Metazoa; Arthropoda; Malacostraca; Decapoda; Portunidae
Exons: 4
Source: RefSeq, a predicted model, not a curated record